AAAAAAAAAGAUAUAUGAGAUUCGAAUUCCAUGAAAUAAUAUAUAAUACUGAUCAGCAAGGUAUUCUCCCCUUCUGUCCUUCCCUUCAUUUUAUAUUAUUAGUAUUUUUUUUUUAAGAUUUCAUAUAUAAAUUAGUAAUCAUGUAAGAGUGAUAUGAUAUUAAACUUUUAUAUGAAGAUAUAUAUUUAUAUAUAUAUAUAUAAAUAA
Humulus lupulus (European hop) is the source of this 207-nucleotide long non-coding RNA. RefSeq lists it as uncharacterized. The record is from RefSeq and is a predicted model, not a curated record. The transcript has 2 exons. NCBI's taxonomy places the organism in Eukaryota, Viridiplantae, Streptophyta, Magnoliopsida, Rosales, Cannabaceae.